GACGAACGCUGGCGGCGUGCCUAAUACAUGCAAGUUGAGCGCUGAAGGUUGGUACUUGUACCAACUGGAUGAGCAGCGCACGGGUGAGUAACGCGUGGGGAAUCUGCCUUUGAGCGGGGGACAACAUUUGGAAACGAAUGCUAAUACCGCAUAAAAACUUUAAACACAAGUUUGAAGGUUGAAAGAUGCAAUUGCAUCACUCAAAGAUGAUCCCGCGUUGUAUUAGCUAGUUGGUGAGGUAAAGGCUCAUCAAGGCGAUGAUACAUAGCCGCCCUGAGAGGGUGAGCGGCCACCGUGGGACUGAGACACGGCCCAAACGCCUACGGGAGGCAGCAGUAGGGCAUCGUCGGCAAUGGACGAAAGUCUGACCGCGAAACGCCGCGGCAGGAAAGAAGGUUGUCGGAUCGGAAAACUCUGUUGGUAGAGAAGAACGUUGGUGAGAGUGGAAAGCUCAUCAAGUGACGGUAACUACCCAGAAAGGGACGGCUAACUACGUG
RNAcentral lists this ribosomal RNA (497 nucleotides) under uncultured bacterium. RNAcentral describes it as "partial 16S ribosomal RNA". It matches the Rfam family "Bacterial small subunit ribosomal RNA", at positions 28 to 507 of the family's 1533-position model. The record is from RNAcentral.